This 3001-nucleotide unclassified non-coding RNA is filed under the name Hevea brasiliensis (rubber tree). Lineage: Eukaryota; Viridiplantae; Streptophyta; Magnoliopsida; Malpighiales; Euphorbiaceae. The record is from RNAcentral.
GCUGCAUCCGUUUUCUCUUCAUCUUCUAGCUGGAAAAACCCUCGUCAACUUUACUCUGCAACAAUGGGGUACGAUCUCUCUCUUCGAUUUUCACUCUCAUUUUUUAGUUGUCCUGUUGCUAUAAUGAUUUAGUUCUAGAUCCUGGUUUUAGGGUUUAAAUCCCCAAGCUCUAUGUUUAUGGUGUCUUCUUCUCUUUUUUCUUUUUAAAUUAUUUUUUUAAUGAGUCAGAAAAUGGAAAUCAAUUGGCAGUUAUAUAAAAUAUUUGAAAAGAAGAGCUUGAGGUGCUUGUAAUAUAUCAUUUGAUAUCUAGUUUAAAUUCAGUUCGUUUUGUUGUUAAGUUGAAUGAGAUUGUGCGUUUCUGGGUAAUUAAUUAUGAUCCCAGGAUUGAUUUGCUUAAUAUAAUUAGAUUUCCAUGUAUUGAUUUUAAAGUUUUGUCCUGCUGGAGACCAAUAGAUGUAUGGCCAGUGGGGAUAACGCGUAGUAUUAUUUAGUGGUAUGCCAUGCCUAUUAAGCAAUAGCUGGUUAUUUUGAAAUAGGAUGCAUUUGGAAGGUUUAGUUUUAGUUUUAAGUAAAUCUCAUCUUUUGUACAAGUAGAAUCAGUAAUUGUUGGAAUGGAUUUCGAGUAGCCAGCAACGAUUAGAUGAUAGUUUUUAAUCUUUUGAUUGAAAUAGAGAAUUCAAUGAUUAUUGUUGGUAGACUUUUGUUAUUAGUUAAAAUGACUGCUCCCAGAAGGGCAAGUGGUGGUGUCUAGUUUGUGCUGCAGAACAAGGAAAUUGUUGUGUAAUGGAAUGUAUGUCAGGAAGCAAACAGAAACAAGUUUAUAUGCAUUAUGCAAUUGAUACCUGGUGCAUGUAUCAAUCUUGGUGCAUGUCUGUGCUCAGUCCGUUUGCUUGCACAAUUAUCUUGCAGGAAGACACGUGGAAUGGGAGCUGCCCGCAAACUGAAGUCCCACCGAAGGAGGCAAAGGUGGGCUGACAAGGCAUACAAGAAGUCCCACCUUGGCAAUGAAUGGAAAAAGCCAUUUGCUGGGUCUUCCCAUGCCAAAGGCAUUGUUCUUGAGAAGAUAGGUAUUGAGGCCAAGCAGCCAAACUCUGCAAUCAGAAAAUGUGCAAGAGUUCAACUGAUAAAAAAUGGGAAGAAGAUUGCUGCUUUUGUUCCCAAUGACGGUUGCUUAAACUAUAUUGAGGAGAAUGAUGAGGUUUUGAUUGCUGGAUUUGGUCGUAAGGGUCAUGCCGUUGGAGAUAUUCCUGGAGUUAGAUUCAAGGUUGUGAAGGUCUCUGGUGUCUCCCUUUUGGCACUAUUCAAGGAGAAGAAGGAAAAGCCAAGAUCAUAAGUUUGCAAUGGAGUGUUAAUUAAUGAUUUUUUUUUUUUUUUUAAGUAUUGUCAAUAUGCUUUCUUUUUUCCCUGCAGAUUUUAGGAGUUUCUGUAGGUUGAUUAAAAGUGUUUCAUGGCAUAUAAGGAACAUCUUAAAAUAUCAAAGGAGAGAGAGAGAAAGAUAAUAAGAAAAAUGAUGAAAGGAGCAAAGUGAUAUAAUCCAAUUUGAAUAGCAACAAAUAAAAACGCCUAAAAGACAUUAUUCGAGAUUGCAGAGAAAAAGGCGUCAUAAUCGAUGAUCAAUAAGAAUGGAUUUUUGAUAGUAUUUCAAACUCUUAAUUGGAUUUUUUAGAGAAUCUCUAAUCAAGCCUGAAAGAUGGAACAAGAUCCGUUUUGCAUCAUUUCUAAGGGACUUUUAGUCAGGCCCAGGAAGCAAUGUCACUGAUUGUUAUCAAAUUGAGCAGCAAUCAUUUUUGGCAUCUUAAUAACUAAAGUUCAAUGUUUGCCUAGCUUUUUCCUUCAUAUAGAUUUCACAUAUGCAUACUAUAGGAAAUAGUAUGUAAUUCUUCAAACUGAUUCUUGUUCAUGGUGCUUGACAUAUUAUUUCAUGUGUGAUCCUUUGACAUGUUAAUUCACGCGUGAUUCUUUGGCACAUUAUAAAUGUCUGACCUGUCAAGGCUAUGAAAGCUAUUUGUGGAGGAAGGUUGUCACUGAGAAGCUUAAUGGAUGGGUGUCCAAACUAGGUGUCGAUUUUCUUUGAGAUGGGGGCUCAGCUCUAUAUUUUGUUUUCUGCAAUGAUAUUCAACAUAUUGAUCCCACUUUUAAAUUCAAAUCCAAUAACAUUUUUGCUAGCUAUUGUGAGAACUUGAACAGUUUUUGCACGAAUGUUAUAAACAGGAAUAUAUCACAGGAUGCCAGUCUUAACUGAAUACAAUAGUGGGAGCUUUAUUUCUUCUCUGGUUUUUCCAGUUGUGGAUGGUAUGAAAAAUUAGUGGCUCAGGGAGGAUACUGUUAGGUGGACAAUGAAAAAUCGGAAUGGUUUUAUUUUAAGCCCUUCACUGAUAAGGUAAGUGAGGCUUUCAAUCCUGAUGGAAAGCUUAAUUUUUCAUGUAGACGCAUUUGAAAUAUGAGAAUCCAUCUAAAGUAGCUUUUUUCUGUGAAGCAUCUCAUAGAGGAUCUUAAUCACUGACAGUCUCCUUAGAAGGAAGCAAUGUGUUUUUUUUUUUUUGGUCUUUGGAACAGAUAUUUUUUAAUGAACAUAUUGUUUCUGAUUAAGCAGGUUCCUUUUCAUGUGUGUAAGCCUGCCUUAAUUUUGAGCUUGUAUCCCUUUGCACCUUUGUGCAGAUUAAUAAUAUUUUUUUUUGUCUUAAAAAAUAAAAAACUGUAUAAACUGGCAUAAUAAAAUAUGCUGAUGGGAGGUAGGCUUUGUCAUUUCAUUCUAGAAUUUGCACAAUUAUGGGUGUCAUAUUCCUUUAUUAGCUGUUAUGUGUAUAUUGCAGCACAGUAAGAGGGAAGGAAAAAGAAUGACAUUGCUAAGUAAUUGAUAUUUUCUUCUUCUUGGCAUGCUCUACCAGGGAUGGAUUUCCAAAGUCCAUGUCAUAUCUCUCUGUCUCUCAAUUAUAUUUUAUUCCUUGCAGCUAGUGACACAUUCAAUUUUGCCUCAUGUCCAUGGAUUAGCACUAAAAAC